CAAGCAACAAGUCCGGAAAAAUCCUCAUGUGCAUAUUUUAAAUUUGGUACUGUUCUGCCCUAAAGCAUAUUUUGGAGUUGUUAAACAUGCAAAGCAUGCCACCAUGUUAAUCUAAGCUUUUUUACACCCCAUUUACAUAUAAAGUUUGUUAAGUUCGGAGCUACGGUUAUUUAUUUAUGAAAUAAAUCAUUUUAACAUGGCAUUUGAGUAAAUUUAAGCAAACAUUAAUUUAAACAUCUUAAACAUGAAUGAAAACAUCAUAUUAUGAAACUAGAUGCAAUUCUAAACAUUUUACCUAUUUAAAACAUUUUAAACCGAUGCACGGUUUGUGAGAUAUUAAAUGCAUGAACAUGAAGGACUGUUCUGUAAAUAUGCAGUUUUCUGGAUAAUUGCUAAAAUCGCAGCAGCAGAAAAAAAAAACAGAACAGGCUGAAACUAGCUGCCCCGAUAGUGCACAGGGGAUCUCGGGCGGCUGCUCACAUAGCGGGCCAUGGCCCAGGACGGCGAGGCCGGAUCUGGAUGUGGCCCUGGAGCGGUGCAGUAGAAGCGGCCCAAGGCGAAGAGGCCACGCGCAUGAUGCAGGCCCAGGAACGCGAAGCAGAGGGCGGUCAACGGGAUCGGGCGGUUCCAGGCGCGGGGGAACUGCUCUGCUCGUUUUUGAAGACAAACGACAGCGACGGGUUUCAGAGCGACGCCGGUCGGGAACGGGCAAGGGCGGCGGAGGUGAUGGCUCGUCGGCGUCGGGGCUCGAGGCGGCCGGGUGCCGCAUCCUCCGGCGACGGGGAUGACGCCGAAGCAGAGGAGGCGAGCGGAACUGGGCGUCGGGCGGGGAUGGAGGUCGGGGCGCCGGUGUCCCGUGGCGGAGGAAGACCAUAGUGGUGGCGGCUUGAUCCCCUGUCCAUGAAAAAAACAAAAAAAGGAGAGAAAGAGAGCUGAGCGACAGGAGAGGGAGAGGUUCAGCAAGGAAAAGGAAAGGGAAGGGAGCAGAGGCCUCGCGGCGCUGCUGGUGGUGCUCUCCGGCCGCGGGAGGACGGUGAGGGAGUCUGGCGGGCAAGGCGCGGACGAACUAGGCGGCGAAGGGCGCUACAAGGAGACGGGCCUCCACGAGCUCGGGCAGGAGAAGGAGGGUCGAGGAGGUCCUGCGGUGGCACUGCCGGCGAUGUGCUGGACUUCGGUGAGGCGAAGAGGCAGAGGGCGGAUGCGGGGAAGACAGAUCCGUCCGUUUCUCUGCUGGAAUGGGUGCAAAACAGUGGCGAGGCGGAGCUCUACUACGGGGAGUUGGUUGCCGGCGGCGCGACAGACGGCAGGGUCGAGGGGCUUGCCUUGGGAGGAGCUCGUCUCCCUGAACUCAGGCGGGAUCGGGAAGAGGCGAGGCCUCGGGCGCACGAGGCUGUGGGUGCGGGACACAGCAGCUCGAUGGUUGGGCGAGGGGAUCGAGGGAGAUUUGAGUGAGGGGAUCCCGAUGUGGAAGAUGAGACACGGGGUGGCGGCGACAGAGAAGGAUGGAUGGGACAUCUCCCUAAAAUUUAGGGUUUUGGUCUGAUUUUGUUAGGGGUUGCCCACUAUAUAUAGUAGGUGGCUAAAAAGAGAGGGGAUUAGAGCCUCUAGAUUUUGAUCGAACGGCUUCGGGUGGUCUAAACAAAGAACAGAUGAUGUUUAGGAUAACUCGGGAUUGUUCCGGACCCACUGGUCAUGACCGUGCGGAUUCGGGUUCGGGGAAGUUUCGGACAUGGUUGCGAAGGGUUUCGAUGCACUGUGCAAAGAGGGAUUCCGACAAAAGGCCACGGAGGCAAGGGCGGGUUAGGAUGGGUUUCGGAGCCUCUGAUCGCGACCGAUGGAUCCGAUCGGGAGGGGGGAUAGGUGGGCCUAGGUGGGAUGAUUGUGACUGUGUAGAAGGCCGAGGGCUGCGGGAGAGAAGAGAGAGAGAGAGAGACCCAGCAACAGUUUUCGGAGACCGAAAACGUCCGACGUUAGACCGGCUAUAUUGCCGCUAUAGUUUAACGGCUGGGCUAUCAAACGAGCUCCGAAUGCGAUGAAACUUGGCAGGCGACCUACUAACAACAUAACAACACCACAUGCCAACUUUCAACCCAUUCCGAGAACAUUUUCCGGCCACUUAUAAAAUAAUAUUUCGGACAUGCCGCUGGCGCGUGCAAGUGUGUCUGGGCUCAGAACGGACAACGGACGGAACGAGGAGAACUCGGACGGAUGCAAGUUUUGAAAACAUGACGAUGCAAUGCAGAUGAUGACAUGGCAAGAUGCAACACGCAAGCAAAUGACAUGGCAACGACAGCGAAUAACUGAAAGACACCUGGCACAUCGGUCUCGCUGGCGUGCUAGUCGACCUUCGUCCGGGUUGCGGUGGGAGCUGGUGGUGGGAAUCCAGACUGGGAGAAAUCCCUGGUCGGCUUCGGCCGGCCGUGACGACGAUGACGCCCGAGGGUGUCGUAGUUCUUCAUGGAGACGUUGGCCAAGUCUGCUCCACCUCUUCCUUGCCCAGAGCCUCCCAGGUGAAAAUCCUAACAGCGGUGGGCGGCGGCGGUGCUCUGCGUCGUUUCCUUCUUGAAGGCGCUGCCUUGGGAGCUUUGCGGUGAUGGGCACUAUUGGGUUUGUUCGAGGCGGCAACUGGUGUGCUCUUCUUUGUCCAAACAUGUGCUUUUCCUCCGACGUGGUCUCGCCAUGUGCAACGUGGCCUCUGCUUGCUCUUGGAGUGCCAAGACGGCGCAUCCGGUGUGCGCUAACCCUCUCUAAGUGACCCCCGGUGGCAUUCAUCCAUGUCCUUGGAACUUUCCGAACUUCCGACGGUGCGACGCCUUGCGAUCCAGGCGAGGAGGUUGUGGCCUCCUUCAGAGAUGGAUUUGGAUGGACGGAUUGCGCCGGGGUCCUUAGUGUUUGGUGAUGGCACGCCAUGUUGAUGCUUACUCAUUUCUUCUCCAGUGUUGGCAUGCUACUUGUUAUGGUUCUGCUGUGGAAGAGGACCUCGACGUUUUAAGCUCUUAGUUUCUUUGUAUAUCCUUCCUGUGCGAAGCGUUUGGGGCCUUGUUAGGCCUUGUACAAUGCUAGGUGCUUAGGAAGCUGCUUAGAAAAAUAAACCGGGUUUUCUCUGAAGCACCAGUGCCUAUUUCUAUAGAAGAGACGCCUAAUUAAGCAUCUACCCUGUACAAAUAAGCAUUGAUGCUUAAGAAAAGCCUGGUUUAUUUCUUCAAGCACCUCUCCUCAGCACCUUGCAUUGUACAAGGCCUUAGGUGCUUUCCAGCGCCUUUGUAUCUUUCCGUUUCCUAUUUGCUCUUGACGGUUGUUUGUUGCAGUUGUAUCCUAGCCGGUUGAUAGUUUUGUUAAUUCAAAGUCGGGCAAGGUGCGAAUCCUCUUGGACUCGGCUGCGUCUUUUCUCUAAAAAAGAAUAGUCACUUAUACUGAGUGAACACAAAGGAUGAUGGCGGUGCUAGUUGGAGCUAGUUGGUUUUUUUUUUUGAGCGGGAAGCUAGUUGCCCCAAAGGAUUUCAGUUGAGGAGAGUGGGAAGGGGGGGUGGGGGUCGGGGGGGUUGUUAAAUGCUGGAAAUUUUGAUCCUUUUGUGAUAAUGGCAUCAUCACAUUACAAAACAGUAAAACGGAGCUACCCACGCCCCUUCACAGCAAUUUGACGUCCUCUGCCGUCGGAUCAGGCUAAUGGACGCUACAAAUCUGCCGUUCGUUCCCUCGGCCGCGCCUGCGCGUUUUUCGCUCCGUCAUCGCGCCCCACUUACCCACCAUAAACGGGCUGCUGCUCCGCUGAUGGACCUAGGCAUUCUGUCCUUAAUCGGGCUGACUAGUCCUGAGAAACAUAGGUUAGGUCCAGGAAAGUAGAGUACACAUGCCCGUUCCGUGCUUUCUAUCAUCUCAUGACUUUUCCGCCACAUUGCCUCGGUUCUUCCCAAGGCGGCGGCGUGCGCCGUCGGCUUCAUUCCUCGCAGUUCAGCGGUCCUCCUAGACGUGCGUUGUCGUCUUCAUCCCUCAUGGUUAAUCCUUCUUUUUCUGAAGGAGCCCUAUUCCCCCGAUCGGCAUACCAGAUUAGCCUACAAAGUUGUACUGUUGUACAGUCCGCCCACGUAGAAGAAAUUCUUGAUGCAUGGAUUGAUCCUUCUUUUUCUGAAGGAGCCCUAUUCCCCCGAUGAAUUCGCAUGCGUGAUGCAUCCUCACGAAUCUCAUCUUCUGUAGGUAAACACAUCUCACCUACCCUUUAUUUGGACUAUUGAGGAAUCGCGUAACAGAUUGGUUCGUGCCCUGGUUCCAUUGAAUUUUUUUUCUUCUUGUGAGCUUGUGAGUCCUAUGCUUCUAUUUCUUCCCUCAGGUCAUGUUGACUCUUGUGCAUGGAUUGAUAAUUGAGAAAGAAAUCAAUGAAUUCUAGAAGAAAUCGCUUGCCAAUGUCACGGGUCCAUAUGAUUCUGCUAUGACCACGAUGGCAACAAUGAAACAAAUAUACCAAUGCCUUUAAAGAAGAGAAGUGAAUUCAGAAAAAGUUAAGCAUGGGAAUGUAUAAACCAACUUAUGUUAUGAUCGAGCAACCAGGGAUCGCACAUCACAGCUCCAAAAACACAAUGGUGCCAUGGGGUAAUUUUUAUCAUUUACUUCUUCAACACAAAUAUCAGUUUUUUGGUGCUUGUUGAAAGAGCUGCGUGGAUCUUCCAUGAUUCCUCCCAAGGUGAUAUAAUCUAUUUCUAUCUCUAUCUUCUUUUAUUUUGCGUGUGAUAUUUCUCUGUUUCGGUUGCAAAUCAAUAGAUUUGGAAGUAGUGCUAUCGGUGGAUGCAAAUCCAUCGACCUGUAAGUGAUGUUGAUGCUAGAUGUUUAGUUUUGCUCUAUAUGUAUAAAUCUGUGCUUGAAAACUGAUUGAAUUGAUCAGAUUACCACUUGUAUUUGUUCUUUGCCUGAUAUCAUGUGCAAAUGCUCUGACACUUCUUGUUCAUGACUUCUUAUAGUGUAGCCCAUUCAUGAGAACGUAUAUGCACUUCUUGUUCUUGUUGAGAUUAUACACUACCAAAAAGGGAUGAUUUCAUCGAUUCAACAUUGGUAAGGAAAAUUGUGCUACUGGUAAGAACAGAUGCUUCACAUAAUCAUUUCUUCCUCGUUUGUCCUCCUAAUAAGAAUAGGUACAUGCUGAAUGCGUUUCUUUCUGGCUCAUGGUUAAAACAGAUGUUCUUUUUGCAUUUUUCUGCUGGUAAGAGUAGAUGCAUCGGUCGAGUCUUCUCUUUUUGUAUUUUUUAUUGAGUAAAGCUGCUUAACCUGGGUGUAUCUUUUGUUGGUCUCUUCUGAAGUGAUGUUACACAUGUAGAUAAAUACAAGAAAUUAUGAGGCCAAUUCAUAUAUACACUUGUCAUUGUGAAAUUAUGUCUCAAAUUCUUUGACAAUGAUAAAAUAACUAUGUUUGUGCAUGCCUA
Long non-coding RNA from Triticum aestivum (bread wheat), 5411 nucleotides. RefSeq lists it as uncharacterized. NCBI's taxonomy places the organism in Eukaryota, Viridiplantae, Streptophyta, Magnoliopsida, Poales, Poaceae. The transcript has 2 exons. The record is from RefSeq and is a predicted model, not a curated record.